GCUGCUGGCCGCGCUGAUUGGUGCAGGCCGGGGGUGGGCGGGGCGGGCUGAGGCGGUGGCCCGCAGACGAGCGGGGGCUCGGCCGCGGCGCUCCCGGGCGGGGAGGCGGGGUCGCAACCCCGAAACAGGCACUCCCCCCUUUAUUUUAUUUCUUCCAGGUGACGCGACAUCCCCUCAGGCUGUAACACGCCGACUCCUGCGCUUCCCGCCGCCGGGCAAGGAGCAGCCUCCCGGGAUGGGGGGCCGGCGGUCUCCGUUAGAAGCGGGCGCACCGUGCCAGGCAGAGUUAUGGGGUGACCUCGGGGUGCUCGAAGAAGAUGAGGAGCUGGAGGGUUUCAGGAGGGAGGCGGAAGUUCUGCGUGAGAAGCUGAGGGAGGCUCUCAGUCAUACAUCUGGUAACAUAAGGCAGUCCAGUUCUUUGACCGACCUCACCUCAGACAGUACCUGGGAUCAGCAAAAGCCUCACUUGUUUCCUAAGUCCCGCUUGAGGCCAAAAAGCGCUUCAUCUCCCUGGAUUCCUUCCAUCACCAUCCCUCAGCCUUUCAAAAUGACACUGCGGGAAGCUCGCAAAAAGUCCGAGUUGAUGAAGUCAUACAUGUUUCUUGAACUAGACAAACAGAGAGACAAAAUGCAAAGCCAGGAUGAAGCUGAAUGUCAGAAACAAUUCCGGGCACAGCCUGUACCUGCCCAUGUGUUUCUGCCCCUUUAUCAGGAAAUAAUGGAGCAGAAUGAGAUUCGCAGGCAAGCAGCAACACAGAAAAGAAAGGAGCUGCUACUUUCAACACAGCGGCCCUUCAGUUUUCUGGAGAAGGAAGAGAAAAAGAAAGAAGCUAUCAGACAAAAAUUCCUGACAGCAGCAACCCCAAAUGAGAGCUCCAAACAGAAGCAAGCCAGUAAAAAAGUUCCCAAAUCUACUUAUGACUCACUUCUUGGAGAUAAACUCAAAGAAGCCGAACUGUACAGGGAGAUCCGUAUUCAGAUGAGAGCGAAGGAUUUGCUCAAGAGCUCCGUAGCUCCCAUAGAUACCAGCAACUGUCGGAGGGAGCCUCAGGCCCGAACUGCCACCAGAACCAAGCAGGAAAGACUUGGCUUCUUACAGGACAAAAGUUUCAGCUUCAAACCAAGGAUUAAUCCAACAGUACCGGAUUUUGAAGAACUUUACUGGGCAUUUCAGAGGAAAACAGUAAGGAGACAAGAAACCAAAGAGCCAAUUCGUAGUAAACCAUUCAAGCUAAGAACCUCCAGUCUCCAUGCCAGGCAGAGGCAGGCUAAUGACAAGAUAAAGGAUUCUCAGAAGCUUUCCAAGGUUUCAGUGCAAAAAAGUCACUCUCUGCCUGGACUUUCCUCUCUCUCUUCCAACACCCUUCCUGUGUAUAUUACAGAUGCAACUAGAAAGAGGGAAUCAGCUAUUAGAUAUGCCCAAGAUAAAAAAAAGGAAGCAGACAAAGAAGGAAUUUAUUGGCUGGAGAAACAGAAAAUGAAGUGUCAAGCUAUGCAAAAGUCUGUAAAUAGCCGAGCAAAAGCACUGGAUCCUCAUAAAAGUCUGGAGGAAACACAAAAGGAGAAAUCAAAACAGAACAGGCAAAAAUUGCAGGACAGAACAAAAGAAUACAGAAAGGAGCUGGAAGAAAUGCAGCUGCGAGUCAAGAACAGACCGUUCCUCUUCGAACAGGUCACCAAGGCUUUGCAAUCUGGGGCUGCAUUCAGCACAUCUCACCCAUCACACAGUACCAGCUGCAAAUCUCUGUUGCACCUGAGCGUGAUGCUCGUCAAGGAGCAGAGCGUCGCUACAGACGCACCCUCCAGCAGGUUGGCCUAAGCGAAGAAUUUGUAAGGAACAAAGGGAAAGAUGCCCCUGACUUGCUGGAAGAAGAAUCUGAUGUUCACAGGCUGCCCGAGCCUCGGGGUGAAAAGGAUGACUGUACUGAACAGGAAGGAGUACCUCAGGAGGAACAGAGUGCAAAGGGAGUGGUGACAUAAAAGCUCACAGAAGAAUCCAUCAAUCAGCCCUUGACUUUUUUUGUUCAAGAUUCUCCAGGUUAAUCCUCAGGAAGUUAAUAGUUUAAGCUGACACCUAAGAAUUGCUGUGGGGUGAGAUGGGAGAAUUUAGUAAAGGGAAAAGAAACAACUGUUGUUUAGAGCAUGUCUUGUUCAGCCCAGCAAGCCCUGCAGCCUCCCUUAGUCUUCAAAAGUGUCCCUUGCGUGAGUGCUUUCCCUUUAAUGGGCAACAAAACAAGUUAAAGAGGUUCAAGCACUAUCUUUGGAUAAAAGUAGAUAUGAAAGAUUGAAGAGAUGCAUCCUAAAUUAUCAACUCCUUGCAUUCAUGCCACAGAAGCACACAGAAAGGGGAGAUUGCCUUCCACUGUGCUAGAAUGCUUUCAAACAAGGUGUUUCUACAAAAACAAAUACCAGGAUUUGACCCACCUUGGGAGAAGACUCAAAGGGAAGUCUUUCUCUGGUGUUAAUUCUUCAUUCACCUGCUACCAGCUCUGCUUCUUCCCCCCAUUAGUAAGAAGCAAUAGUCUU
This is an RNA transcript of Prinia subflava (tawny-flanked prinia), 2526 nucleotides long. It is a transcript of the gene named FAM161 centrosomal protein B, with no coding region annotated. NCBI's taxonomy places the organism in Eukaryota, Metazoa, Chordata, Aves, Passeriformes, Cisticolidae. The transcript has 9 exons. The record is from RefSeq and is a predicted model, not a curated record.